GAUGAAGUUUGAUUAUUUGUAACAAUACAUAUGUUUAAUGCAUUUAAUAUUUUAAAGCUAUUGGUAUCAUUACGGUAACCUUUUCCCUGACUUGCUGACUGUUUGGGUUGCAGUUGAUCCCAGCACGAUUGAAAACGGAUGUCUGGAGGUUCGUUAUGGUCUAUGUUUGUUAGUGAAAUCACAGAAAAAAAAAUAAAUAUAGCCAGUAAGAAAAACGAACAUUUAUUUGUUUAAUUUCAUAAUUCAUAAAUACUAGAAUACCGAAUACCCACUAGCUGAAUCUGAAAGUCUUCUAUACACUUUGAAUAAAUUGAUGUGAUUCAAGAAUUGCAAAACAAAAUGCACCUAUAGUGAAACAGUCUUUGAGUAUUAACGUAAUCAAGUCAGUUUACAUACUUUUCAAAAUUUUGUUUUCGAUUUUGUUUUCAACCAGUAACUUUUUACAUACUAUUCUUUUGAUAGGGUUUAGACUUUCAUCAUGAUAUUGCAUACUUUUAUUUGUUAUAAAUUUAGCCAUUCAUUCAGUUAACAUACUAUUCAUACUUUGUGAUAUGGAUUUAAUAGCAUCAAAUCAGUCUAAUAGUAUUCAUACUAUAUCAUAUUUUUGUGAUACAGGUUUUAGCAGGAUCCAAUAAAUGUGGACGGUUAGAUCACCAUGUUGAUGAUGGACAAAAUCAAGUUGCCGAACUGUCACGUCUAGAAUCUAUUAAGGAGAGAUGCCCUCAUGUCAAAGCUGAGAUGGAGAAAGGUAAUCCUACACUUCAGAAAAAGCAAAUUCCGAUAGUUUUAUGAUAUCAGUAUCAAUUUAUUCAAAUUCUUACUUUUGAUCUUUUUGAUUCCAGCGUCAGGGAUGAUUUUUUUUGUAGACAAAACGCGCUUUUGGCUUACUCAAUUACUACACUGUAACCUUUGACUAUUUUGUCUUCUCUGUUUUACAAAUUAGAUAGAACCGAUGUUCAAAUCUCAUAAAUUCAGAAGAUACAAAAUCAAAUUUAAGAAACAAAAACCAGGAAAUUAUAUUUAACCCAAAAUGAACGAAACAGGAUGCGUGACAUGGUAGGCAUCGGUCUAUACACAUUAUCGCAAUUAAGACUUAACCAAAGAUUCUGCGACACUUAAACUAUUCGCGUCAAACAACAAUCGUUUUUCUAUUGAUACGUCAUAUCCAUUAUUACGUAAACAAAUGACGGGAAUCUUUGUAAUGUCCAAAUGUAUGGCAAACAAAUAACGAUAAGGUGUAUAUUUAAACCUCAUGAAUAGGGCACAAAUAGUAAAUUUACAUAUCAGCUUAUUUUUUGGUAUUGAAAGGUUUUAGACCGCAAAAGCAUAUCGUUAGUGGGUUUAGACGCAUACCCAUCAUUUAGACACAUACACAUUUUGUAUAUAUAUAUAUAUAUAUAUAUAUAUAUAUAUAUAUAUAUAUAGGUCCAUCAAUUAAUAAUCGAUGAUGACCGUAUAACCAUGAUAUGGUUUUCAUUCUUGUUUCCUAAUAAUUAUGCUGUAGCAGUUUUGUGUAUCCUGUUAAUGAGGUCUGUAAAGAACGAAAUUGUAUGUGCGUAACGUAUUCGUUGGUAUGUGUCAUUUCAGUAGGCUGGGACAGAGUGUAAUUGUUCUAUGAUAAUUUUUGUAUUAUUGUCUUUCAUUUUUGCUAAUAUGCUGUGUCUGUAUGCAUUUUGUGUUUCUUUGCUACAUAUGACGUGGCCCUGUGUUUAUAAAUUCCGUCAUUGUGUUAUUGUGCCAUCGUAAAUAUGUGUUUACAUAUUUGUUUGAUUUAUAUUGAUUAAGAUGAUAACCCAAUGUUGACUGAUAUGACGUUUUUACCUAUUAUGUAUAUUUGUUUUGUUCACACGUCGUUUUCAAUAUAAUAGAAUUUAGCUAUAAGAAAAUGUAUGUAUCGAGUAAGGAAUAUGACAGUUGUUGUCCAUUUGCUUGAUAUUGUUGAGGUUUGGAUUUUUGCCAUUUGAUAAGGGACUUUCUGUUUUGAAUUUUCGUCGGAGCUCGGUAUUUUAGUGAAAUAAUUUUUUGAUACUUCUGAGUAAUGGCAAGUUGACAAUUUGAAAAAAUGAAAUCACGAUAGUUAUAAAUGUUUUGGUUAAAGUCGUAUACCUUUGUCAGUAUAAUAUAUAAGAUCAAUUUAUGAAGUAGAUUUUCUAGUUUCGAUGAUAGCUUUAAUACUUAGAAACAUCUUUCAUUUUCUUUACAGGAGAUGUUUUGUUUCUCCAUUCCAAUACACUACACUACAGCAGUCCGAAUCGUAGUAAGAUGAGAAGGAUUGGAUUCCUCAUGUGUUACAACAAAGCCUCUAAUGAAUCCGUCAUGGAACAUCAUCAUGCUCAAUAUACCCCCAUACAGAAGGUAGGUUUUAUCAUUUUGGCUCAAUGUAGCCUUAAAGGCAGAUCUUUUAAGGGAGUUCGCUUCUCAGUUUCAAAGUAAUUAACUUUUCAAAACACUAAUUUAUAUAGAUAGGGGAUUGAUAAAGGAAUCCAAAGAGCAAUAAAAAUAUAUAGGUCACCGUGCUUGUUUUUCGAGAUAAAAGCCAUUGAAAUUUUGGCGGGAAAAUAUUCUCUCUUGACUUUUCAUAGCUUUAUCAAUGACAAGUUGAAGUUUUCAAAAACUGUUAAAAAGUAAUUAAAAUUUUAAAAGACUUUUACAGAUGGCUUAUCAUUAUACAUGUAAAAGAUUUACAAAAAGAAAAAUAGGGGUCACCGGGCAAAUUUUUUUUAAUGCAUUCAAAUGUAUAAAACCAGAGGAUUCCGAAAAUCUGACAAAACAUUUUAAACAUGACAAGCCAGCUUCCUUAACAAAAUUGACAUGCAUCAUAAAAACGAUCAUAGCUUACUCUUUUUCAUUCAGGAGUAUUGUGAAAAUGUACACAAAACGUAAAAGUAAAUAUAAUUGACAUAUGCAAACAAUAUAAGUAGACGGAAUUUAAACGUGUACACUAGUAUAGGUAAAGGGGUAGGUUCAGUAAGACCCCUUUUUGGCCCAAAAAUAUAGCAAUUACAAAAUUGUUAAAAUGUAAACUGUUAGUUAUUUAUGGAAAGUAGAAUGCUUCUAAUACAUAGAUAUGGGCUGUUUUUGACAAUACAAUGCUCAUAUAUCGGUACUAGCAUCAUUUACUCAUGCUUAAUUACUGAAAUCUUUACAAUUUUAGCAUAUUAGUUAAGUUUUUCCGUCUUAAAUGAAAAUGGCCGCAUUUGUGUUCAUUCUUAAUAUUGAAAUGUAAGUUGUAUUUGAUGAUAAUACAUAACAUAUAUAAAGGUUGAGGAUGAACACGGAUGCGUUCACUAUCAUAUUUGACAAAAGCCAUCUGAAAAAUGACAUUUUCUUGGCAUAUUUGAUAGAUUUUUUUAUAUUUAAGCUUGAAUCGGAGCGUUUUUAAUUACUUAAUCAGUAAAAAUCUUUCACAUAAACUCAUUGAAUCAACUGAAAUAGAUAAUAAAGUGUUUAAAAAGUGUCAAAAAUCUUUCGUCAGAUGAACUUAAAAUUUGAUGCCAUAAUCGGCCCUUACCGGACCUACUACUUUGAUUAUUUGAUAAUGGCCAAUCAAUUAUAAAUAUGAUGUUUAAACUCCACCGACUUAUAAUUGUUUGCAGGUAUCAAUCCUAAUUGUCAUGUUUGAGCAAACAUUAGUACAAACAAAUCAAGCAAGGCAAGCAAGCCAACCAGUCUCUUACUCAAGAGAGGGACGAAAGAUACCAGAGGGAGAGUCAAACUCAUAGAUAGAAGAUAAAAUGACAAUUCCAUGGCUUAAACUAAAAAGACAAACAGACAAAUAAUAGUACAGAAGACACAACAUAGAAAACUAACACGAACCCCAUCAAAAACUGGGGGUGAUCUCAGGUGCUCCGGAAGGGUAAGCAGAUCCUGCUCCACAUGUGGCACCCAUCGUGUUGCUUAUGUUAUUGCAAAUCCGGGAAAUAUCUUUAAAAGCUUCCUUUUGAGUAGCAAUCCUCUCUCAAUGAAAUCAUGAUAGAAAAUACAAGCCCGUAAAUAUCGUAUCAAUUGGGAGAUAUAUACUCCGUAUGCAGCCGCUGCUCGAAUGUUGCUACUUAGAAAUGGAAAGUUCACAAUUGAAAUACUUUGUACUUAUAUUGGUAAAGAGAAAAAUAUUUAACAUGAUUAUAUACACUGUUUAAUAAUACUUUCACCUGUCUCUUUUUCUCUCUCUCCGAAUAGUAUAAAUAGAGGAAAGAAUAUUCUGUUUCAAUUUAUAAACAUGAGUUGCACGUGCACAAUGGUCAAUUAGUCCAAUUAUUAUUUCAGGUUCCAGAUUCUGCAAUCAAGGAAUGUACAAAUUUUACAGACAUGUCGGGAAAGGAAUUUCAACAUCCAAAUACAAAUACAACAAUGAUUGGCAGGAAAGAUCAAUCCCAC
RNAcentral lists this long non-coding RNA (4377 nucleotides) under Mytilus galloprovincialis (Mediterranean mussel). Lineage: Eukaryota; Metazoa; Mollusca; Bivalvia; Mytilida; Mytilidae. The record is from RNAcentral.